GCCUGGGUGGCUCAGUUGGUUGAGUGUCUGACUUGAGCUCAGGUCAUGAUCUCAUGGUUCGUGGGUUCAAGCCCCACGAUGGGCU
This 85-nucleotide transfer RNA is filed under the name Felis catus (domestic cat). It matches the Rfam family "tRNA". From Rfam's summary of the family: Transfer RNA (tRNA) molecules are approximately 80 nucleotides in length. Their secondary structure includes four short double-helical elements and three loops (D, anti-codon, and T loops). RNAcentral also lists the same sequence under 2 other names. The record is from Rfam by way of RNAcentral. Lineage: Eukaryota; Metazoa; Chordata; Mammalia; Carnivora; Felidae.